GACGAACGCUGGCGGCGUGCUUAACGCAUGCAAGUCGAACGGAAAGGCCCUGCUUUUGCGGGGUGCUCGAGUGGCGAACGGGUGAGUAACACGUGAGUAACCUGCCCUUGACUUUGGGAUAACUUCAGGAAACUGGGGCUAAUACCGGAUAGGAGCUCCUGCUGCAUGGUGGGGGUUGGAAAGUUUCGGCGGUUGGGGAUGGACUCGCGGCUUAUCAGCUUGUUGGUGGGGUAGUGGCUUACCAAGGCUUUGACGGGUAGCCGGCCUGAGAGGGUGACCGGCCACAUUGGGACUGAGAUACGGCCCAGACUCCUACGGGAGGCAGCAGUGGGGAAUAUUGCACAAUGGGCGGAAGCCUGAUGCAGCAACGCCGCGUGCGGGAUGACGGCCUUCGGGUUGUAAACCGCUUUCGCCUGUGACGAAGCGUGAGUGACGGUAAUGGGUAAAGAAGCACCGGCUAACUACGUG
This 468-nucleotide ribosomal RNA is filed under the name uncultured bacterium. Its description in RNAcentral is "partial 16S ribosomal RNA". It matches the Rfam family "Bacterial small subunit ribosomal RNA", at positions 28 to 507 of the family's 1533-position model. The record is from RNAcentral.